GACGAGGGAUCCUAGCGUUGUUCGGAAUCAUUGGGCGUAAAGAGUAUGUAGGCGGCCUUGUAAGUCAGUUGUGAAAGCCCCGGGCUCAACCCGGGAAGUGCAAUUGAUACUGCUUGGCUUGAAUGUGGAAGAGGGCAGUAGAAUUCCUGGUGUAGUGGUGAAAUACGUAGAUAUCAGGAGGAACACCGGUGGCGAAGGCGGGUCUCUGGGCCAAUACUGACGCUGAGGAGCGAAAGCGUGGGGAGCGAACAGG
RNAcentral lists this ribosomal RNA (253 nucleotides) under uncultured bacterium. RNAcentral's name for it is "partial 16S ribosomal RNA". It matches the Rfam family "Bacterial small subunit ribosomal RNA", at positions 524 to 776 of the family's 1533-position model. The record is from RNAcentral.